Molecule: ribosomal RNA, 507 nt
Filed under: uncultured soil bacterium
Lineage: Bacteria
Description: partial 16S ribosomal RNA
Rfam family: Bacterial small subunit ribosomal RNA
Source: RNAcentral
CAUGUGGUUUAAUUCGAAGCAACGCGAAGAACCUUACCUGGGCUUGACAUGCUGGUGUAAGCCGGUGGAAACAUCGGCCCCUCUUCGGAGCGCCAGCACAGGUGCUGCAUGGCUGUCGUCACCCCCCCCCCCCCCGAUGUUGGGUUAAGUCCCGCAACGAGCGCAACUCUCGCUCCCAGUUGCCAGCGGUUCGGCCGGGGACUCUGGGGGGACUGCCGGCGUUAAGCCGGAGGAAGGUGGGGACGACGUCAAGUCAUCAUGGCCCUUACGUCCAGGGCGACACACGUGCUACAAUGCCUGGUACAACGCGUCGCGAACUCGCAAGAGGGAGCCAAUCGCCAAAAGCCGGGCUAAGUUCGGAUUGUCGUCUGCAACUCGACGGCAUGAAGCCGGAAUCGCUAGUAAUCGCGGAUCAGCCACGCCGCGGUGAAUACGUUCCCGGGCCUUGUACACACCGCCCGUCACGCCAUGGAAGCCGGAGGGACCCGAAACCGGUGGGCCAACCGC